AGAGUUUGAUCCUGGCUCAGAUUGAACGCUGGCGGCAGGCCUAACACAUGCAAGUCGAACGGUAACAUUUCUAGCUUGCUAGAAGAUGACGAGUGGCGGACGGGUGAGUAAUGCUUGGGAACUUGCCUUUGCGAGGGGAAUAACAGUUGGAAACGACUGCUAAUACCGCAUAAUGUCUUCGGACCAAACGGGGCUUCGGCUCCGGCGCAAAGAGAGGCCCAAGUGAGAUUAGCUAGUUGGUAAGGUAACGGCUUACCAAGGCGACGAUCUCUAGCUGUUCUGAGAGGAAGAUCAGCCACACUGGGACUGAGACACGGCCCAGACUCCUACGGGAGGCAGCAGUGGGGAAUAUUGCACAAUGGGGGAAACCCUGAUGCAGCCAUGCCGCGUGUGUGAAGAAGGCCUUCGGGUUGUAAAGCACUUUCAGUUGUGAGGAAAAGUUAGUAGUUAAUACCUGCUAGCCGUGACGUUAACAACAGAAGAAGCACCGGCUAACUCCGUGCCAGCAGCCGCGGUAAUACGGAGGGUGCGAGCGUUAAUCGGAAUUACUGGGCGUAAAGCGCACGCAGGCGGUUUGUUAAGCUAGAUGUGAAAGCCCCGGGCUCAACCUGGGAUGGUCAUUUAGAACUGGCUGACUAGAGUCUUGGAGAGGGGAGUGGAAUUCUAGGUGUAGCGGUGAAAUGCGUAGAUAUCUGGAGGAACAUCAGUGGCGAAAGCGACUCCCUGGCCAAAGACUGACGCUCAUGUGCGAAAGUGUGGGUAGCGAACAGGAUUAGAUACCCUGGUAGUCCACACCGUAAACGCUGUCUACUAGCUGUGUGUGCCUUUAAGCGUGCGUAGCGAAGCUAACGCGCUAAGUAGACCGCCUGGGGAGUACGGCCGCAAGGUUAAAACUCAAAUGAAUUGACGGGGGCCCGCACAAGCGUGAGCAUGGUGGUUUACUCGAUGCAACGCGAAGAACCUUACCUAACACUGACAUGCAGAGACUUUCUAGAGAAUAGAUGGUUGCUCAGACCUCUGAAACAGCGCCUGCAUGUCUGUCGUCAGCUCGGUCUUGAAAUGUGGUAGUUCGGCACGAGCGCACCUUGCUUAGUUGCAGCAUAGUGGACCUAAGACUACUGCUGGUACAACGGAGAAAGUGUGAGGAC
Molecule: ribosomal RNA, 1148 nt
Filed under: uncultured bacterium
Lineage: Bacteria
Description: bacterial SSU rRNA
Rfam family: Bacterial small subunit ribosomal RNA
Source: RNAcentral